RNAcentral lists this unclassified non-coding RNA (298 nucleotides) under Hevea brasiliensis (rubber tree). Lineage: Eukaryota; Viridiplantae; Streptophyta; Magnoliopsida; Malpighiales; Euphorbiaceae. The record is from RNAcentral.
CGGACUGCUGAGAGAGUUUAUAAGUUUUCAGUUGAUUUGGCCAGUUCCAAGAAAAAGAACAACUGCUGACUCCUUUAGCAGGAGACCUCACAAGGGUAGCGGAACUAAGAUUACUUAUCGAAGGAUUGACAUUUUUACUCUUGCAAGGAAUGAGUUCAUGUAGCACACUAGUAUCCAGAAAUGACUGACAGCUGCUAAUGGCUUGUGGAUUUUGAAGCCCUAACAUUGUUGAACCAUGAUACACUCACCUUAUCAGCGAUUUCAUCCGCACAGGAAGAGAUAUGUAACGAGGAAGAUG